Molecule: unclassified non-coding RNA, 359 nt
Filed under: uncultured fungus
Lineage: Eukaryota; Fungi
Description: sequence contains ITS1
Rfam family: 5.8S ribosomal RNA (bases 1-104)
Source: RNAcentral
CAACUGCGAUAAUUAGUGCGAACUGCAGAUAUUUUGAGCACUGAAGUUUCGAAUGCACAUUGCGCCAUUGGAUUUUAUCCUUUGGCACGUCUGGCUCAGGGUCGUAAAUACAAAACCCCAAACAAAUGGUGGUGAUAUGACCUGUGCUAGACUGCUGUCGCAUCAGCCCAGCACUUGCUUUUUGUGCAGCCUUUGGGCCGAUUUGAUAGCGCUCUCACUAGAGCAAAAACCUGCUCACACUUCGGUAACAUAGCUGUAAGUCCUAGCGAUUUGUAUGGACGUAAGCUAUUGAGCCGAAGUGUAAGGCAAGCAGUCGAUUUUUCGACCUGAACUCAGACGUGAUUACCCGCUGAACUUAA